Molecule: ribosomal RNA, 253 nt
Filed under: uncultured bacterium
Lineage: Bacteria
Description: partial 16S ribosomal RNA
Rfam family: Bacterial small subunit ribosomal RNA
Source: RNAcentral
UACGUAGGGGGCUAGCGUUGUCCGGAAUCAUUGGGCGUAAAGAGCGUGUAGGCGGUCCGGUAAGUCCGCUGUGAAAGUCCAGGGCUCAACCCUGGAAUGCCGGUGGAAACUGUCGGGCUAGAGUCCGGAAGAGGCGAGUGGAAUUCCUGGUGUAGCGGUGAAAUGCGCAGAUAUCAGGAGGAACACCAAUGGCGAAGGCAGCUCGCUGGGACGGUACUGACGCUGAGACGCGAAAGCGUGGGGAGCAAACAGG